Molecule: ribosomal RNA, 427 nt
Filed under: uncultured bacterium
Lineage: Bacteria
Description: bacterial SSU rRNA
Rfam family: Bacterial small subunit ribosomal RNA
Source: RNAcentral
GAGCGCGAAAGGGGAGCAUCUCUGAGUAAAGCGGCGUACGGGUGAGCAACACGUGGGUAAUCUACCUUUUAGUGUGGAAUAACCCUGGGAAACCGGGGCUAAUACCGCAUAAUCCUGUGAAGGGAAAGCAGCAAUGCGCUGAAAGAGGAGCCCGCGGCCGAUUAGCUAGUUGGUGAGGUAACGGCCCACCAAGGCGAUGAUCGGUAGCCGGCCUGAGAGGGCACACGGCCACACUGGCACUGAAACACGGGCCAGACUCCUACGGGAGGCAGCAGUGGGGAAUCUUGCACAAUGGAGGCAACUCUGAUGCAGCGACGCCGCGUGAGCGAUGAAGCCCUUCGGGGUGUAAAGCUCUUUCGGCAGGGACGAUAAUGACGGUACCUGAAGAAGAAGCUGCGGCUAACUACGUGCCAGCAGCCGCGGUAAU